This 208-nucleotide ribosomal RNA is filed under the name uncultured delta proteobacterium. RNAcentral's name for it is "partial 16S ribosomal RNA". It matches the Rfam family "Bacterial small subunit ribosomal RNA", at positions 568 to 774 of the family's 1533-position model. Lineage: Bacteria; Deltaproteobacteria. The record is from RNAcentral.
CGUGUAGGCUGCUCGGAAAGUCGGAUGUGAAAGCCCUGGGCUCAACCUAGGAAGUGCAUUCGAAACUUCCGAGCUGGGAGUGCUGGAGAGGAAGGCGGAAUUCUCGGUGUAGAGGUGAAAUUCGUAGAUAUCGAGAGGAACACCGGUGGCGAAGGCGGCCUUCUGGACAGUAACUGACGCUGAGACGCGAAAGCGUGGGGAGCAAACA